Molecule: ribosomal RNA, 722 nt
Filed under: uncultured bacterium
Lineage: Bacteria
Description: bacterial SSU rRNA
Rfam family: Bacterial small subunit ribosomal RNA
Source: RNAcentral
UCGCAAGACCUCGCCCGAUUGGAGCGGCCGAUAUCAUGAUUAGGUAUUUGGUGGGGUAAAGGCCCACCAAGCCGACGAUCUUCACCUGGUCUGAGAGGACGACCUGCCACGCUGAGACUGAUGCACCGCCCUGACUCCUACAGUUUGAAACCGUGCUGAAUUUUGGACAAUGGCCCCAUCUCUGAUCCAGAUAUGCCGCGUGCAGGAUGAAGGCCUUCGGGUUGUAAACUGCUUUUUACUCGGACGGAUGAUUCUGCCCUAAUACUUGGGGAAUAUAACGGUACCUUGCAGAAUAAGCACCAGCUAACUACUGGCCUCCAGCCUGGGUAAUACGAGUGAGACUCAGCGUUAAUCGAAAUUACUGGACGUAAAGCGUGCGCGUGGGGGCAUGUUUCACCUCUGUGAAAUCCCCGCGCAUGCUUCUGGGAACUGCAUACCCUGACUGCAUAGUCUCGAGUACGGGGAAGAGGGAUGGAAUUCCACGAGAAACUCUGAAAUGUAUAUAUGUGCGAAGGAGCUUCGAUGGGGCAGGGCAAUCCCAUGGGACUAUACUCACGCUCCUGCGCGAAAGCAUGGAGCACCAAACAUCAUCAGAUACCCUUUCAGUCCACACACUACACGAUUGCUCCUGUCUUGUGGCUCUUCACUGACUCACCAACCGAAACUACCGCGUAGAAGCUGACCGCCUAGGGUGAGUACGAGCCGCAAAGGUGUACACUCAA